UGGCGAACGGGUGAGUAACACGUGGGGCAACCUGCCCAAAANAGGGGGAUAACACUUGGAAACAGGUGCUAAUACCGCAUAACCAUAGUUACCGCAUGGUAACUAUGUAAAAGGUGGCUAUGCUACCGCUUUUGGAUGGGCCCGCGGCGCAUUAGCUAGUUGGUGGGGUAAAGGCUUACCAAGGCAAUGAUGCGUAGCCGAACUGAGAGGUUGAUCGGCCACAUUGGGACUGAGACACGGCCCAAACUCCUACGGAAGGCAGCAG
Molecule: ribosomal RNA, 265 nt
Filed under: uncultured bacterium
Lineage: Bacteria
Description: partial 16S ribosomal RNA
Rfam family: Bacterial small subunit ribosomal RNA
Source: RNAcentral